RNAcentral lists this ribosomal RNA (497 nucleotides) under uncultured bacterium. RNAcentral's name for it is "partial 16S ribosomal RNA". It matches the Rfam family "Bacterial small subunit ribosomal RNA", at positions 28 to 507 of the family's 1533-position model. The record is from RNAcentral.
GAUGAACGCUGGCGGCGUGCCUAAUACAUGCAAGUCGAGCGAACAGACGAGGAGCUUGCUCCUCUGACGUUAGCGGCGGACGGGUGAGUAACACGUGGAUAACCUACCUAUAAGACUGGGAUAACUUCGGGAAACCGGAGCUAAUACCGGAUAAUAUAUUGAACCGCAUGGUUCAAUAGUGAAAGACGGUUUUGCUGUCACUUAUAGAUGGAUCCGCGCCGCAUUAGCUAGUUGGUAAGGUAACGGCUUACCAAGGCGAGUAUGCGUAGCCGAGCUCAGGGGGUGGUCGGCCACACUGGAGCUGGGACACGGUCCAGGCUCCUACGGGAGGCACCAGUCGGGAAUCUUACGCAGUGGGCGAGAGCCUGACGGAGCAACGCCGCGUGAGUGGUGACGGUCUUCGGAUCGUAAAACUCUGUUAUUAGUGAAGAACAAAUGUGUAAGUAACUAUGCACGUCUUGACGGUACCUAAUCAGAAAGCCACGGCUAACUACGUG